Non-coding RNA from Kogia breviceps (pygmy sperm whale), 318 nucleotides. Lineage: Eukaryota; Metazoa; Chordata; Mammalia; Artiodactyla; Physeteridae. The record is from the annotation of a RefSeq genome assembly.
AUGAUGAAAUCCUCAAGAGUUUUACUAGUGAUCCUGUGGCUUCAGUUAACAUGGAUGAGGAGCCAGCAGAAGGGAGUGGAGCAGAGCCCCGCAUCUCUGCAUGUUCCAGAGGGAGACAUCGCCUCUCUCAACUGCACUUAUACUGACAGAACUUCUGAUUACUUCUUGUGGUACAGACAGUACCCCAGCAAAGGCCCUGAGUUGCUCCUGUACGGAUACUUGAAUAAUGACAAAGAGGAAGGAAGAUUUGCAGCGCAGGUCAAUAAAGCCAACCAGUAUGUCUCCCUGCUCAUCAGAGACUCGCAGCCCAGCGACUAA